RNAcentral lists this transfer-messenger RNA (376 nucleotides) under Tritonibacter aquimaris. RNAcentral's name for it is "Alphaproteobacteria transfer-messenger RNA". It matches the Rfam family "Alphaproteobacteria transfer-messenger RNA". From Rfam's summary of the family: Bacterial tmRNA, also known as 10Sa RNA or SsrA, is named for its dual tRNA and mRNA-like properties. Its role is to liberate the mRNA from a stalled ribosome. To accomplish this part of the tmRNA is used as a reading frame that ends in a translation stop signal. Lineage: Bacteria; Pseudomonadati; Pseudomonadota; Alphaproteobacteria; Rhodobacterales; Paracoccaceae. The record is from Rfam by way of RNAcentral.
CCUCUUCAACUCCCCGCGCGGCUUGCUUAUAUUCGUUCUGUUCCCUCGGGAACUAUGGACAUAAACGCGCUCGUAAUAAACGGCUCGGACCCGGGGGCGGUACCCGGCGUCUCCACCAAAUCACCUUCGGUGUGUUCCUUCGUUUGGGGAAUGGAUCGAGUUUGUGGGGACGAAAUAGGAUCGACGGACGUCUAAAGGGGUUAGCUUUGUCUCGGCUGUCUGCCACCGUUAUCGGCGAAACUAGUACAAUUGCAAACGACAAUCGUGCUCCGGUUGCUCUGGCUGCGUAAGCAGUUCGAGUCGAACCGACUUUAAGCCCUGUCGCCUAGCCGCGGCAGGCGGGGUUCGCAGGUACCUGGCAACAGAAACCUGCACU